RNAcentral lists this ribosomal RNA (1182 nucleotides) under uncultured organism. Its description in RNAcentral is "bacterial SSU rRNA". It matches the Rfam family "Bacterial small subunit ribosomal RNA", at positions 153 to 1351 of the family's 1533-position model. The record is from RNAcentral.
GAAAGGGGCGGUAAUCCAGAUAAUGUCCUUCGGGACCAAGAUUAUCGGCAUUGGAGCGGCCUAUCUCCUAUCAGCUUGUUGGUGAGGUAACGGCUCACCAAGGCAACGACGGGUAGCGGGACUGAGAGGUUGGCCCGCCACAUCGGGACUGAGACACUGCCCGGACCUCCACGGAGGGCUGCAGUAACGGAUAUUGGGCAAUGGGCGAAAGCCUGACCCAGCAAUGCCGCGUGCAGGAUGAAGCCCCUAGGGGUGUAAACUGCUGUCAGGGGUCAGAAAGCUGGUUUCGGCCAGUUGAUCAACCCCAGAGGAAGUCACGGCUAACUUCGUGCCAGCAGCCGCGGUAAUACGAAGGUGGCAAGCGUUAUUCGGAAUCAUUGGGCUUAAAGGGCACGCAGGCGGAACAGUGUGUGUUGUGUGAAAUCCCCCGGCUUAACCGGGGAAUUGCACAGCAAACUGCUGUUCUUGAGGCAGGUAGGGGUGCAUGGAACUCUUGGUGGAGCGGUGGAAUGCGUAGAUAUCAAGAGGAACGCCAGAGGUGAAGACGGUGCACUGGGCCUGUCCUGACGCUGAGGUGCGAAAGCGUGGGGAGCGAACGGGAUUAGAUACCCCGGUAGUCCACGCCGUAAACGAUGUCUACUAGGUCGUGGGUGUUCUGACACAUUCACGGCCGGAGCAAAAGUGUUUAGUAGACCGCCUGGGGAGUACGGCCGCAAGGUUAAAACUCAAAUGAAUUGACGGGGGCUCACACAAGCGGUGGAGCAUGUGGAUUAAUUCGAAGCAACGCGCAGAACCUUACCUGGGUUUGACAUGCUUGGAUGCCUGCUCUGAAAGGAGUUAGGCUGCCUUCGGGUGAAACUUGCACAGGUGCUGCAUGGCUGUCGUCAGCUCGUGUCGUGAGAUGUCGGGUUAAGUCCUUUAACGAGCGAAACCCUUGCCGUUAGUUGCCGGCGAGUAAUGUCGGGGACUCUAACGGGACUGCCGGUGUUAAACCGGAGGAAGGUGGGGAUGACGUCAAGUCCUCAUGGCCUUUAUGCCCAGGGCUUCACACGUGUUACAAUGGCAAUUACAGAGCGACGCGAUACCGCGAGGUGGAGCAAAUCGCAAAAAAAUUGCCUCAGUUCGGAUUGCAGGCUGGCAAUUCGCCUGCAUGAGGUCGGAAUCGCUAGUAAUCGCGUAUCA